UGAGGAAUAUUGCUCAAUGGGCGAAAGCCUGAAGCAGCAACGCCGCGUGCGCGAUGAAGGCCUUCGGGUCGUAAAGCGCUUUUGAGAGGGACGAGAUAGGACGGUACCUCUGAAAUAAGUCACGGCUAACUACGUGCCAGCAGCCGCGGUAAAACGUAGGUGGCAAGCGUUAUCCGGAUUCACUGGGCGUAAAGCGCGUGCAGGUGGCUUCGUAAGUUGGACGUUAAAUCUCCCGGCCUAACCGGGAGGAGUCGUUCAAUACUGCGGGGCUGGAGGGCAGAAGAGGGGGGUGGAAUUGCUGGUGUAGUGGUGAAAUGCGUAGAUAUCAGCAGGAACACCUGUGGCGAAAGCGGCCCCCUGGUCUGCUCCUGACACUCAGACGCGAAAGCUAGGGGAGUGAACGGGAUUAGAAACCCCGGUAUCCUAGCCGUAAACGAUGGAUGCUAGGUGUGGGUGGUAUUGACCCCAUCCGUGCCGAAGCUAACGCGUUAAGCAUCCCG
Molecule: ribosomal RNA, 500 nt
Filed under: uncultured Chloroflexota bacterium
Lineage: Bacteria; Bacillati; Chloroflexota
Description: bacterial SSU rRNA
Rfam family: Bacterial small subunit ribosomal RNA
Source: RNAcentral